Schistocerca gregaria is the source of this 2186-nucleotide long non-coding RNA. RefSeq lists it as uncharacterized. The record is from RefSeq and is a predicted model, not a curated record. NCBI's taxonomy places the organism in Eukaryota, Metazoa, Arthropoda, Insecta, Orthoptera, Acrididae. The transcript has 2 exons.
GCCCGUUGCAUCGGUUUUUACAUUGUUAAAUUAAAUCUUUCCCAUCUUUGUGCGCUUUUAAUAGGCUGGUAUAUAUCAGUACUAAUCUAGAGCUAAAUUACGCAUCGGAAUAAUUAUUUGGACAGUUAUUUCCUCAGAGCGAUCGUAUUUUACAGUUUAUAAUGUUACUUUAUAAACGGAACUGAUUACGUGUCAGUUUAUAGGGACGGCACUGAUUGCGUGAGGCGAGGACAAAAAGUAAGUCAUGAAGUGCGAAGAGGGCUCACUUAGCCGUUAUUUAAACUGGUAUUACGUAAGUGCAGAAUGGCAGUGUUCUGUCGUAAAGCCUCAUAAUAGCCGGCAUCUCCUGGCUGGUCUUUCCGAGCCACGUGACCGGCUGCGGCUCUGCAUACUGCCGCAGAAACACAGCACGUACGACUGCGCUCGCUUAAAGUCCCAGCAGUGGACACCAUCUCCGUGAACAACUGUCCAAAAAAAUUAAAGCAGCGUCGAUUUCUGUUGAGCCUAUUCGUGUAACAAAUUAUUAGAGUUCUAAAUUAUCCCAGUCCAUAAGUCCGUUAUGGUCUACGUACUGUGAACUAGGGCGCUUACGACGAAAGCGCAGUAAAGGAAAAAAAAGUUUAUGAAAGGCUUUUUGGCUGGUGGUUGUGUAAUAGUAGAUAUUUGAAGUAGACUCGCUGUAGAUGGCACUGAAUUACUAUCAGACCAGUCUCCGCUUCACUACUGUGUCGUUCUUUUGUUACUUCAACAUAUUCUUUUCUGGAAAAGCAGCUGUGUUAUUAUUUAGUCAAAUGCUGAGCUUGUGAUUCUGCAUGUUACUUCAAACUGUUGCCCUGCUUGCUCUCUGCAUGUUGCUUGUGCCGUACUAAUGUUCCCCUUGUUUUAAGGCACAGUUGGUAAAACUUCUUAAGACGUUUUCCCUUUGCUAGACCCAUACUUACUUUCGUACUUCGAGCUAAUUGGUUAAAAUUAAAGGCUUUAUAGAUAAUUGCUUCUAAUCGCUAUAAUUAUUGUAGUGUGUAGUUUGAGUCAUACUUCACUGAAUUUGCUUUCACUAUGUUCUGCGUCGGUCUUUACACUCUUAAGUGCAUGCCACAGAUCUAGCAUUUCAGUGUCAUUCCCCAACUCUCGCAUACUGUUCUCAAGUGUGCGCACUUAUUUAGCUCCAGACUUAACGACAAGAUCCAGUCAUUAAGCUAUGCGUCUUACGACGUAAUGAAAGUACGGACCGACUAUUUUCAUCUCUCAGAGCAGCUUAUCGAGCUUAUAGAUUUGCAGCCCUGUUGGCCUCAGUGGGCUGUUAUGCAGGGUCACGUAUUUCUUAAGAGGUUGUUAAUUAACAAGUAUCUCGGAGCUUUUCUCGUACCUGUUCUGUAUGUUACUUGACUCACGUUGUGAUGUUUGUCUCCGAGGAAAGAAUGACUCCAUGCUGCCGGUCUGAUAAAGAUUUUCACGAACAGUCAGAUAGCAUACCAACUAUGCGCACACAGCCCGGAGAUGUAAAAAUCGGCUCCACAGUCACUAGCUCCUGGUUUAAGACUCGCGACCUUCUUUUCCUAUACGCAUUUACAGUAUUCGUGCGAAAAUAAGCGAAUACAAUCGGCCUGAUGUACACUUUGAAAGGUCGACUGUAAAUGUGUCGAGUUGAUACGCCACGUAGGGUCAUUACCCCGGUUGCACACAGCGCGAAUAGUUGAGACUGCUGUCCCCGUGGCGCUUGCACAGCUUAUAACUGCUAGCGUGCGUGCGUGCAUGCAUGCGUGUGUGUGGUGUGGUGUCCCGCUCCGCCCCGCCCCGUCCUGUUUGCUGUUCUGCUGGGCUGGCAUGCGCGAGCGAAUAGGCACAGUGCCGGGACCCGUGCCAGAGGCGCGUUUACACGGCCUUCAGAAUUCUGUAAAUGCACUAUCUGGUACGACACCCCGGCACUACCCACCACCUGUCGGCCUGCCGCCGCCGCCUCGACGAUCUGCCAACUGAACCAAACCGCGAACCGGACAGUCGUUGUACGACGACUUGUAUUCUUGAGUGUGCUACACCCAAAACUUAGUGAAUGGAUGCACAAAGUUUACGAGGUAUAUGACUCGCUUUCUAUCUGUGGUAUCGUCAACGACUUUAAAAGCAUCUUCCAUAAAUUCAGGCGACUCACCUGAGUAUUGUCAGUGUUGGAAUUGUGUAGAACAAUUUUA